GUCUAAGUUUAAGCAACUAAACGGCGAAACUGCGAAUGGCUCAUUAAAUCAGUUAUCGUAUAUUUGAUAGUACCUGCUACAUGGAUAACCGUGGUAAUUCUAGAGCUAAUACAUGCUGAAAAUCCCGACUUCGGAAGGGAUGUAUUUAUUAGAUUAAAAACCAACGCCCCUCGGGGCUCACUGGUGAUUCAUAAUAACUCCUCGAAUCGCACGGCCUUGCGCCGGCGAUGGUUCAUUCAAAUUUCUGCCCUAUCAACUUUCGACGGCUGGGUCUUGGCCAGCCGUGGUGACAACGGGUAACGGAGGGUUAGGGCUUGACCCCGGAGAAGGAGCCUGAGAAACGGCUACUACUUCCAAGGAAGGCAGCAGGCGCGCAAAUUACCCAAUCCCGACUCGGGGAGGUAGUGACAAUAAAUACUGAUACAGGGCUCUUUUGGGUCUUGUAAUUGGAAUGAGUACAAUUUAAAUCCCUUAACGAGGAACAAUUGGAGGGCAAGUCUGGUGCCAGCAGCCGCGGUAAUUCCAGCUCCAAUAGCGUAUAUUAAAGUUGUUGCAGUUAAAAAGCUCGUAGUUGAAACUCGGGCCUGGCUGGCCGGUCUGCCUCACCGCAUGCACUGGUCCGGCCGGGCCUUUCCCUCUGGGGAGCCGCAUGCCCUUCACUGGGUGUGCCGGGGAACCAGGACCUUUACUGUGAAAAAAUUAGAGUGUUCAAAGCAGGCCUAUGCUCGUAUACAUUAGCAUGGAAUAAUAGAAUAGGACGUCGCGGUUCUAUUUUGUUGGUUUCUAGGACCGCCGUAAUGAUUAAUAGGGACAGUCGGGGGCAUCAGUAUUCAAUCGUCAGAGGUGAAAUUCUUGGAUCGAUUGAAGACUAACUACUGCGAAAGCAUUUGCCAAGGAUGUUUUCAUUAAUCAGGAACGAAAGUUAGGGGAUCGAAAACGAUCAGAUACCGUUGUAGUCUUAACCAUAAACUAUGCCGACUAGGGAUCGGGCGAUG
Molecule: ribosomal RNA, 995 nt
Filed under: Lollipopaia minuta
Lineage: Eukaryota; Fungi; Ascomycota; Sordariomycetes; Diaporthales; Cytosporaceae
Description: SSU rRNA
Rfam family: Eukaryotic small subunit ribosomal RNA
Source: RNAcentral